UACGUAGGUCCCGAGCGUUGUCCGGAUUUAUUGGGCGUAAAGCGAGCGCAGGUGGUUUAAUAAGUCUGAUGUAAAAGGCAGUGGCUCAACCAUUGUGUGCAUUGGAAACUGUUAGACUUGAGUGCAGUAGAGGAGAGUGGAAUUCCAUGUGUAGCGGUGAAAUGCGCAGAUAUAUGGAGGAACACCGGUGGCGAAAGCGGCUCUCUGGACUGUAACUGACACUGAGGCUCGAAAGCGUGGGUAGCAAACAGG
RNAcentral lists this ribosomal RNA (252 nucleotides) under uncultured microorganism. RNAcentral describes it as "partial 16S ribosomal RNA". It matches the Rfam family "Bacterial small subunit ribosomal RNA", at positions 524 to 776 of the family's 1533-position model. The record is from RNAcentral.